RNAcentral lists this unclassified non-coding RNA (253 nucleotides) under uncultured bacterium. RNAcentral describes it as "contains 16S-23S intergenic spacer region". It matches the Rfam family "Bacterial small subunit ribosomal RNA", at positions 524 to 776 of the family's 1533-position model. The record is from RNAcentral.
UACGAAGGGUGCAAGCGUUAUUCGGAAUUACUGGGCGUAAAGAGUGUGUAGACGGUGUAUUAAGUCUGCUGUUAAAUAUUCCGGCCUAACCGGAAAGAUGCGGUGGAAACUGAUAUGCUAGAGGAUGGAAGAGAGAAGUGGAAUUCCCGGAGUAGCGGUAAAAUGCGUAGAUCUCGGGAGGAACACCAAUGGCGAAGGCAGCUUCUUGGUCCAUUCCUGACGUUGAGACACGAAAGCGUGGGGAGCAAACAGG